Hirundo rustica (Barn swallow) is the source of this 1603-nucleotide RNA transcript. It is a transcript of the gene named BTB/POZ domain-containing protein KCTD12-like, with no coding region annotated. The record is from RefSeq and is a predicted model, not a curated record. NCBI's taxonomy places the organism in Eukaryota, Metazoa, Chordata, Aves, Passeriformes, Hirundinidae. The transcript has 6 exons.
AUCGGCACGGAGGGGAUCGGCACGGAGGGGAUCGGCACGGAGGGGAUCGGCACGGAAGGGAGCGGCACGGAGGGCAGCGCAGGAGGGAGCAGCGGGAGCUCGCCAUGGCCCUGGCAGACCCCGCGGGCUGUGCCAAAGGCGGCGAGGACGGCAACCCCUUCCCCGACAUCAUCGAGCUGAACGUGGGGGGACAGGUGUACAUCACCCGGCACCCCACGCUGGUCAGCGUGCCCGGCUCGCUGCUCUGGGAGAUGUUCACCCAGAAGAACGCGCGCUCGCUGGCCCGCGACAGCAAGGGCCGCUUCUUCGUGGACCGGGACGGGUUCCUGUUCCGCUACAUCCUGGAUUACAUGAGGGACCGGCAGCUGGUGCUGCCCGAGCACUUCCCGGAGCGCGGCCGGCUGCAGCGCGAGGCCGAGUACUUCAUGCUGCCCGAGCUGGUGAAGCUGCUGGCGCCCAAGCUCAGCGAGCAGAACUCCCUGGGGGACGAUCCCUGCCAGAGCGACCCCGAGGAGCCGUCCCCCGGCGCCGACGCCUCCCGCGGCCUGGCCUCGGCCGCCGCCGCGCCGCCCGGCGCCGUGUCCGGCGGCGCCGAGGGCCGCAGGGCGGGCUUCAUCACCAUCGGCUACCGCGGCUCCUACACGCUGGGCAGGGACAGCCAGACGGACGCCAAGUUCCGCAGGGUGGCCCGGAUCAUGGUGUGCGGCAAGACCUCGCUGGCCAAGGAGGUCUUUGGGGACACCUUGAACGAGAGCAGGGACCCGGACAGGCCCCCGGAGAGGUACACGUCCAGGUACUACCUCAAGUUCACCUUCCUGGAGCAAGCCUUUGACAAACUGGCCGAUGCCGGCUUCCACAUGGUGGCCUGCAACUCCACGGGCACCUGUGCCUUCGCCCACGAGCAGACGGACGACAGGAUCUGGACCUCUUACACCGAAUACGUUUUCUACCGUGAGUGACACAAAACCAACCCUCCGCCGACCAGCCACCGACUGUCCCUUUCCCGUCCCGCGCUGGCUGUGGCCUAGAAGGUCCCAUUGUACGAGGCCAGCUCUCCAGGCAGCUCUCCAGGCACGGCAGCUUUCCAGGAAGCUCCUGGCUCAGCCUUCCCGUUCCCGAGCCUUCAGAACCGGAGCAGAGCCCAAAAAAACCCAUGUCCUCUUCCGAGCCCAUCCUGGACCUCAAGGGAGACACGGAGGAAGCGCUUCCAGAGAACCUGGGAGGAGCGGGGGAGCAGAGCUCCUGCCCACCGAGGGCCACUCCAGGGAGUGGAGAAUCCACGGAGCACACGGAACCAGCGCCAGCAGCCCUGGAGGAGGCUGUGGAUCCGAAGGAGAUCCCCGGCUCGGGGCAGGGUCCGGCUGACCCCGGGAACGCCGCUGGACGCCCCGGCAAUGACCAGCGCCUCCCGGAGCCGCCCGUGGCCGGCACAGCCGCUCGGUCGGAGGAGAAGGAUCCCAGCCCCACCAACUCCCCGCCGUGGCCGGAGGCUCCCGAGGAAGCCCCAGCCCGUCCCAACACCCUGGACUUCUCCAAAUCCCUGAAGAAGCUGGAGGAGGUGAAGCAGGCGGGGCAGCGGCGCGGCAGCGACCAGGCUGCGGUC